This 253-nucleotide ribosomal RNA is filed under the name uncultured bacterium. Its description in RNAcentral is "partial 16S ribosomal RNA". It matches the Rfam family "Bacterial small subunit ribosomal RNA", at positions 524 to 776 of the family's 1533-position model. The record is from RNAcentral.
GACGGGGGAUGCAAGUGUUAUCCGGAAUCACUGGGCGUAAAGCGUCUGUAGGUGGUUGCAUAAGUCAACUGUUAAAUCUUGAGGCUUAACCUCAAAAUCGCAGUCGAAACUGUUCGACUAGAGUAUAGUAGGGGUAAAGGGAAUUUCCAGUGGAGCGGUGAAAUGCGUAGAUAUUGGAAAGAACACCGAUGGCGAAGGCACUUUACUGGGCUAUUACUAACACUGAGAGACGAAAGCUAGGGUAGCAAAUGGG